RNAcentral lists this long non-coding RNA (1644 nucleotides) under Marmota monax (woodchuck). The record is from RNAcentral. Lineage: Eukaryota; Metazoa; Chordata; Mammalia; Rodentia; Sciuridae.
GAGGUGAAUAUAAAAUUGCAUAAUACACAAUCCCAUACACGUGUAUGCAUGUGUGCCUCUGUGUGUGUGUGUGAUAUAAUAGGGUUAGGUCUUAGUAAAAAAGGAGUAAAAAACUUCUAUAAACUAUAGGUACUCAUUGUUUUACAACCAGACCCAAUUCAUAAAAAUGCUGCAAUAUACUUUUCAGUAAGCAAUAUAAGCUGUAGGAAAGAACUCAGUAAGUUAUUUGUGGGCCUCAUGAGUAACUUCCUUCUUUUACUAAAACCAAACAACAUUAAAACUAAACACUGUGCCUAAAAGGAAUGGGGAGCAAUCAAACUCAGAAUCUGAGAAAGAGAACUGUAAUGUAACUAGGACCUUGUAAAGGCCAUUUCCAGGUACCUGUGGCAUUAGAACUCAAGUCAGGAGGUUCUUGCUGCAUCCUGUUUGGAGAAAAUAAUACCUCAGUGAUGCCAUCAAUGUCAGUCAUCCCCCAGGACACCACAGAGGCCAUAUCUUGUCAUAAGGAAUUCACCAACCUGAGUCUCAGCCCCUUUGUGGCACCUUCCUGUUGUUCUCCUUGGAGAUGAUAUUUAGCAAUUGGAAAUAUGGUAGCAUGCACUCAGCUCUCUCCAAUCAUUCCAAAGGAGUAUUUUAUUUUUUCUGGAGAGAAUUUUGGGGUUGAGGGCGGAUGGAUUGGGAAUUUUGUGGAUUCUGUUUUAAGAAGCCAUUCUCUUCCUCUCCUUUCAUAUUUUUCUUCUUUAAUUUCUUUGUUCUUCUUGCUCCUCCUCUAUGUGUUCUCCUUCUCUUCCCCUGUCUUUUCAUGUUCUUUUUUUUGUUCUCCUCACCUCUGUCUGCCUUUCCUAACUCUCCCCAGAGGUGGUGGUUAAUGACAGUCACUGAGUAAGAAGCAGCCAGAGAGAUGGAUGCCAAGGUCAAUGCUGGGGAACCAAACCACUUAUCACAGUGAUGCUUUUCCUUCCUUUUUCCUUGUUCUUCUCCCCUGGAUGGACCAAGGUCGUGGGCUUUUCUGCCACUGUGCUAUGAUGGAGUGGAGUCAGAGAAAGAGGAAAUAGGAAACAAAUGGGGCUUGACUUAAUCACAUCAGGAGUUCAGUUGUUGGAAUACCAAGUUAAUUUAUGGUAUCAUGGCAUGGAAAAUUAUAUUUCAGGAUGCAGAAUUAAAUCAAGUCAUAUCUCAUGGUUUUUCAGAUACAGUCUUCUGAGGAGGGGACUAAAAGAGACAUUGCAACCCUCUGUCUGCCCCAUAGCCAGAAAAAUAGUUGUUUUCCAAAUUUCCAAGGCCUGGUUUGUUUUGGCUGAACUCCAUGUGCCUGGUAAUGGACUGGUCUGGCCUGGUUGUCCUAAGGGAGGAUCAAGUACUUCCCACAGCAGUGACUCUAGAGGGAACGGAGCUGGUCUCAAAUAAACCUCUGAGCUUGCCAAUAAGAAACUCAGUUCUUUCUUCCAUGCCCCUCCUUGCCAGUGGUACAGUAGUGCAAGCAGGUGACUAGAUUCAGAAGCUUAUUUCCUGAUGCUGGGAGGCGACUAGCGGAAUCACAGAACCUUAAAAAGGGAAAGGAUUUUAGGGGUCAUCAGCACUACCACUGACUGGUGUUCUUCCUUGUUCUCAGCUUUGCCCUCUACUAAACAGCAGCAGGGAUGU